This is a non-coding RNA of Phrynosoma platyrhinos (Desert horned lizard), 72 nucleotides long. NCBI's taxonomy places the organism in Eukaryota, Metazoa, Chordata, Lepidosauria, Squamata, Phrynosomatidae. The record is from the annotation of a GenBank genome assembly.
AACAGUGAAGUGUAGUGGUUUGAGUGUUGGACUAUGAUUCUGGAGACCAGGGUUCAAAUCCCAGCACAGCCA